CCCUAUUGCUAUCGGGAUGAUACUAAGCCAUGCUAGUUGUGCGCUUCCUAGCUAUGUUGGAAGAGCAGCAAACGGCUCCGUAACACGUAGUUAAUCUGCCCUUAGGACAGACAUAACCUUGGGAAACUGAGGCUAAUAUCUGAUAGGUGGAAACGCCUGGAAUGGUCUUCCGCUUAAAGGUUUUUGGACACACGCGUCCAAGAAUGCCUAAGGAUGAGACUGCGGCCGAUCAGGCUGUUGGUGGGGUAACGGCUCACCAAACCUAUAACCGGUACGGGCCCUGAGAGGGGGAGCCCGGAGAUGGGAACUGAGACAAGGUCCCAGGCCCUACGGGGCGCAGCAGGCGCGAAAUCUCCACAAUGCGCGAAAGCGUGAUGGGGUUAUCCCGAGUGCCGUCCGUUGAGGAGGGCUUUUCCCCAGUGUAAGGAGCUGGGGGAAUAAAGGGGGGGCAAGACUGGUGUCAGCCGCCGCGGUAAUACCAGCCCCCUGAGUUAUAGGGACGAUUAUUUAGCCUAAAGCGUUCGUAGCCGGCUUAACAAGUCUUUCGUUAAAUCUAACGACUCAAUCGUUAGGCCGCGGAAGAUACUGCUAGGCUUGAGGGCGGGAGAGGUCGACGGUAGUCCCGGGGUAGGGGUGAAAUCCAAUAAUCCCGGGAGGACCACCAGUGGCGAAGGCGGUCGACCAGAACGCGCCUGACGGUGAUGGACGAAAGCUGGGGGAGCGAACCGGAUUAGACACCCGGGUAGUCCCAGCUGUAAACGAUGCGAGCUAGGUGUUGGGGUAGCCACGAGCUGUUCCAGUGCCGCAGAGAAGUUGUUAAGCUCGCCGCUUGGGGAGUACGGCCGCAAGGUUGAAACUUAAAGGAAUUGGCGGGGGAGCACCGCCAAGGGGUGAAGCCUGCGGUUU
RNAcentral lists this ribosomal RNA (906 nucleotides) under uncultured archaeon. RNAcentral describes it as "bacterial SSU rRNA". It matches the Rfam family "Archaeal small subunit ribosomal RNA", at positions 21 to 903 of the family's 1478-position model. The record is from RNAcentral.